This is a non-coding RNA of Podarcis lilfordi (Lilford's wall lizard), 1304 nucleotides long. The record is from the annotation of a GenBank genome assembly. Lineage: Eukaryota; Metazoa; Chordata; Lepidosauria; Squamata; Lacertidae.
GUUACAAGGAGCUGUGCAGUUCAGCUACAGAACAAGGCCUCUUAUUUGAAACUAUUUUCAGAGACAUACACAGUAAGAGGCACAGAGGAACAUGCUUUUCCAAAGACUGUGGCAGUUUGCCAGGCAGGCUACUGUGGCCAUUCUCUUCCUCUGAAGCCACAACACUAGAAACUGAGCUCUGCUUCCCCUGUUGGGCUUUACGGAUGCCCUGUGCUGGCUCUAAAUGAAUCAGAAAGGUCAUUCUUGUUUACCAAAUACCAAAUGUCUCAUUCUUGUGGGUCUCUUUCAUGGGUCUUUGCUGGAGGAGCCUUAACUAGGCAUUUCUGUAAACAAGCCUUCAAAGAUCAGGUGUAUGAUGUAAAAACUAGAGCAAUGUUGGCUUCAUCCUUUAGCAGCAGCUCAUUUGUAUGGGAGAAACAGUUGACGGAGUGCCCAGUGGAUGGUCUCUUCAGAGCUGGCAAAGGUUGAUAGCAGCCAUAGCUUAUCUCGGAAAUAAGUAGAAGUGAUACCUGAGUGUCAUUACCUGGGACCCAGGUGAAUGUCAUGACCUGAGACCCACUGGGGUCAAUAUGGCAGGCAGGCAUUUCUGAGCAUACAUUGCUCUUAUACAUUGCUUUCACAGCUCUAAUAUUUUUGCUUUGAAUCAGUUUCUACUGAACAAUAGCUUACAGUCCGCAGUCAGCAGCUAGCAGGACACCAAGGAGAGGUUGUGCCAAUUAGGAACGCAGGAGAUCUGCCAAGUUCCUUCAGGCUAGCUGGAAGGUGAAGUACAGAGUAUCCCUAUUCUGACAUGCUCUCACCCUGCCACAGAACAUGUUUCUGAUACACAACUGACCUCAGCCUGCUAAGUGCUGAGCCUGCACAAACAUGUUCCCAGUCACAACCACAAUGUAUCUGUGCCAUUGUCCUGCAAAAAAGUAUAUACCUAGCUAAGCAGAGAUUUUUCAUGCACCUCAACCUGUCUUUUUGCUAACAAACAGGCAUCGCUUAUCAGCUUCACAUACUAGAAAGGUGAAGUGGCCUAGAAGAGACCAGAAGCUCCAAACUGACCACUUCAUGUAACAGACUACCAAACAUGCAACGUUUUUCACGAGACAGAAGAAUAGUGAAUUUAAAAAAUUUGUUUAGAACUAUCUGUUGCCAUGGUAUAGCUAGUAGACAGAAGCGUGCUUUUUUGUAUACCAGUAAGGAGUCCACAAGCUGUCUACAUGUUCUGUUAUCUAGUCAUGUUUCUGAAAGGGAUCGUUCACGAGCUAACCAUGUAAAGAGAAUGUUAUUAAAGUGUCUUGAAAUUUGUAUUCGGG